Molecule: non-coding RNA, 110 nt
Filed under: Glycine max (soybean)
Lineage: Eukaryota; Viridiplantae; Streptophyta; Magnoliopsida; Fabales; Fabaceae
Source: RNAcentral
GCCGAGCCAAGUAACGGUGGCUUGUGACCCGAGUGGGGGCAUUAAGGUGAUGGAACAAGCGUUAUUGGGCUCAGGGUGGUGUGUUGCAAAAUAAAGGGUGGUGCACUUUG